GAUGAACGCUGGCGGCGUGCCUAAUACAUGCAAGUCGAGCGAACAGACGAGGAGCUUGCUCCUCUGACGUUAGCGGCGGACGGGUGAGUAACACGUGGAUAACCUACCUAUAAGACUGGGAUAACUUCGGGAAACCGGAGCUAAUACCGGAUAAUAUAUUGAACCGCAUGGUUCAAUAGUGAAAGUCGGUUUUGCUGUCACUUAUAGAUUGUUCCGCGCCGCAUUAGCUAGUUGGUAAGGUAACGGCUUACCAAGGCAACGAUGCGUAGCCGACCUGAGAGGGUGAUCGGACACACGGGAACUGAGACACGGUCAAGACUCCUACGGGAGGCAGCAGUAGGGAAUCUUCCGAAAUGGGCGAAAGCCUGACGGAGCAACGCCGCGUGAGUGAUGAAGGACUUCGGAUCGUAAAACUCUGUUAUUAGGGAAGAACAAAUGUGUAAGUAACUAUGCACGUAUUGACGGUAACUAAUCAGAAAGCCACGGCUAACUACGUG
This 497-nucleotide ribosomal RNA is filed under the name uncultured bacterium. Its description in RNAcentral is "partial 16S ribosomal RNA". It matches the Rfam family "Bacterial small subunit ribosomal RNA", at positions 28 to 507 of the family's 1533-position model. The record is from RNAcentral.